GUCACUAUACCCCACUCCCUCUAACAUGUAAACUCACUGAGCAGGGCCCUCAAUCCCUCUGUUACUGUGUCACUAUACCCCACUCCCUCUAACAUGUAAACUCACUGAGCAGGCCCUCAAUCCCUCUGUUACUGUCACUAUACCCCACUCCCUCUAACAUUUAAACUCACUGAGCAGGGCCCUCAACCCCUCUGUUCCUGAGU
This is a non-coding RNA of Pelobates cultripes (western spadefoot toad), 203 nucleotides long. The record is from the annotation of a GenBank genome assembly. NCBI's taxonomy places the organism in Eukaryota, Metazoa, Chordata, Amphibia, Anura, Pelobatidae.